AUGUUUGGCAAAUUUGUUGCUAAACUUUACUAAACCUUAGCUGCUAUAAAGUUUAGCAAGGUGCACCCUCUAAGGAAGUCUUUCAAGGACGAUGCAUAUACUAGCGAUAUUGCAAAAAUGCUGGAAGACAAUUCUAUGUCUAUCUCCUAUAUGGAGAUUGUGCACAUUCUAGAUUCAACAACGUAGCAUGUGCACAAACUCCAAAUAAGAGCUAGAAUGUCGACCGCAUGCCAGACAUUUUGAUCAAUAAUGGCUACAUGCUGCGAAGAACACUAGAAUGUUUUCGUGUAAAUGAAGAGUUAUCGGUGGUGCUUGGUUCCCCGCUGUAACUUACCACGCCUAACAUACGGCACGCCACCAAAUGCAGAGGCGCUGCUUGGUUUGUACCAAAACUGCAGCAGCCACAUGAUUUUGCAGUGUAAACUUCCGCCAACCUGUGGCGUGGAUUUUUGGCACCUAAGGUUAGGCGGCGCCGCACUUGCGGCUUGGCGAAACGAGGCUGGGAACCAAGCAAAUCAACACUGAAGAGUAAUCUCAUUGCCCAUUUUCUGUUUUCCUUGUUGGCAAUGGCCAAGGUGAGUUUCCCAAACUCACAGCCACACUCACACUCACAUGAACUGGAGGUAGAAGAAGGAGAUAGAGGAGCACAACUGGAGGUAGAAGAAGGAGAUAGAGGAGCACAGAGCGUCAGUUUCAAUUUGUGCUGCUGAACUGAUGAGCUGCAGCUGCUCUUCUACUCUUUAUAGAGUCUAAAGUCAAACUAGAGUACAUACUAGAGUGCUUCUACCAACUACCUACUACUUAGUACAAUACAAGACAGGGCAUGCUCUCCCUUCUACUCAUGGCAUUGCUGCCAUAUACAGCAGGUAGGAGCCAGUAGCAUGUCAGGAGCUCUACCAGCUCCAUUGACUUUGCAA
Molecule: long non-coding RNA, 917 nt
Filed under: Setaria italica (foxtail millet)
Lineage: Eukaryota; Viridiplantae; Streptophyta; Magnoliopsida; Poales; Poaceae
Description: long non-coding RNA (SITA_LNC005218)
Source: RNAcentral